Molecule: ribosomal RNA, 1442 nt
Filed under: Enterococcus faecalis
Lineage: Bacteria; Bacillati; Bacillota; Bacilli; Lactobacillales; Enterococcaceae
Description: bacterial SSU rRNA
Rfam family: Bacterial small subunit ribosomal RNA
Source: RNAcentral
UAUACAUGCAGUUCGAACGCUUCCUUUUCCUCCCGAGUGCUUGCACUCAAUUGGAAAGAGGAGUGGCGGACGGGUGAGUAACACGUGGGUAACCUACCCAUCAGAGGGGGAUAACACUUGGAAACAGGUGCUAAUACCGCAUAACAGUUUAUGCCGCAUGGCAUAAGAGUGAAAGGCGCUUUCGGGUGUCGCUGAUGGAUGGACCCGCGGUGCAUUAGCUAGUUGGUGAGGUAACGGCUCACCAAGGCCACGAUGCAUAGCCGACCUGAGAGGGUGAUCGGCCACACUGGGACUGAGACACGGCCCAGACUCCUACGGGAGGCAGCAGUAGGGAAUCUUCGGCAAUGGACGAAAGUCUGACCGAGCAACGCCGCGUGAGUGAAGAAGGUUUUCGGAUCGUAAAACUCUGUUGUUAGAGAAGAACAAGGACGUUAGUAACUGAACGUCCCCUGACGGUAUCUAACCAGAAAGCCACGGCUAACUACGUGCCAGCAGCCGCGGUAAUACGUAGGUGGCAAGCGUUGUCCGGAUUUAUUGGGCGUAAAGCGAGCGCAGGCGGUUUCUUAAGUCUGAUGUGAAAGCCCCCGGCUCAACCGGGGAGGGUCAUUGGAAACUGGGAGACUUGAGUGCAGAAGAGGAGAGUGGAAUUCCAUGUGUAGCGGUGAAAUGCGUAGAUAUAUGGAGGAACACCAGUGGCGAAAGCGGCUCUCUGGUCUGUAACUGACGCUGAGGCUCGAAAGCGUGGGGAGCAAACAGGAUUAGAUACCCUGGUAGUCCACGCCGUAAACGAUGAGUGCUAAGUGUUGGAAGGUUUCCGCCCUUCAGUGCUGCAGCAAACGCAUUAAGCACUCCGCCUGGGGAGUACGACCGCAAGGUUGAAACUCAAAGGAAUUGACGGGGGCCCGCACAAGCGGUGGAGCAUGUGGUUUAAUUCGAAGCAACGCGAAGAACCUUACCAGGUCUUGACAUCCUUUGACCACUCUAGAGAUAGAGCUUUCCCUUCGGGGACAAAGUGACAGGUGGUGCAUGGUUGUCGUCAGCUCGUGUCGUGAGAUGUUGGGUUAAGUCCCGCAACGAGCGCAACCCUUAUUGUUAGUUGCCAUCAUUUAGUUGGGCACUCUAGCGAGACUGCCGGUGACAAACCGGAGGAAGGUGGGGAUGACGUCAAAUCAUCAUGCCCCUUAUGACCUGGGCUACACACGUGCUACAAUGGGAAGUACAACGAGUCGCUAGACCGCGAGGUCAUGCAAAUCUCUUAAAGCUUCUCUCAGUUCGGAUUGCAGGCUGCAACUCGCCUGCAUGAAGCCGGAAUCGCUAGUAAUCGCGGAUCAGCACGCCGCGGUGAAUACGUUCCCGGGCCUUGUACACACCGCCCGUCACACCACGAGAGUUUGUAACAACCCGAAAGUCGGUGGAGGUAAACCUUUUGGAGCCAGCCGCCU